GAUGAACGCUAGCGGGAGGCCUAACACAUGCAAGCCGAGCGGUAUUUGUUCUUCGGAACAGAGAGAGCGGCGCACGGGUGCGGAACACGUGUGCAACCUGCCUUUAUCUGGGGGAUAGCCUUUCGAAAGGAAGAUUAAUACCCCAUAAUAUAUUGAGUGGCAUCACUUGAUAUUGAAAACUCCGGUGGAUAGAGAUGGGUACGCGCGAGAUUAGCUAGUUGGUGAGGUAACGGCUCACCAAGUCAAUGAUCUUUAGGGGGCCUGAGAGGGUGACCCCCCACACUGGUACUGAGACACGGACCAGACUCCUACGGGAGGCAGCAGUGAGGAAUAUUGGACAAUGGGUUAGCGCCUGAUCCAGCCAUCCCGCGUGAAGGACGACGGCCCUACGGGAUGUAAACUUCUUUUGUAUAGGGAUAAACCUACUCUCGUGAGAGUAGCUGAAGGUACUAUACGAAUAAGCGCCGGCUAACUCCGUG
Molecule: ribosomal RNA, 479 nt
Filed under: uncultured bacterium
Lineage: Bacteria
Description: partial 16S ribosomal RNA
Rfam family: Bacterial small subunit ribosomal RNA
Source: RNAcentral